RNAcentral lists this long non-coding RNA (276 nucleotides) under Mytilus galloprovincialis (Mediterranean mussel). Lineage: Eukaryota; Metazoa; Mollusca; Bivalvia; Mytilida; Mytilidae. The record is from RNAcentral.
CCGGCUGUUAUCGACAACUUACUUUACACCAGUAAGUUUGUCUCAUGGGUAAUUGUGUUUUUUUGCUGUUGUUUCGUUGCUUCUGGUGGACAAAUACAUGAAAUAUCUGUGCCAUCAUCAAACAUGUUAAUGGCUAUAUAUCGGGUAAUUCAAACCCUUUUUUCUUCGCAUAGAAACAACUCUUCGUUAAUCUGAGCAUGGAAGUAAUACUUUAUAUCACGAACUAUAAAUGAAGAUACACAAAAUGAAAAACUAAGCGAAAUUGUGAAUCCCGCA